This is a non-coding RNA of Lacerta agilis (Sand lizard), 75 nucleotides long. NCBI's taxonomy places the organism in Eukaryota, Metazoa, Chordata, Lepidosauria, Squamata, Lacertidae. The record is from the annotation of a RefSeq genome assembly.
GUCCCUGUAAGCGCAAUGGGUCAGUGUGUUUGGCUGUUAACCAGAAGGUUGGUGGUUCAAGCCCACCCAGGGAUG